RNAcentral lists this ribosomal RNA (497 nucleotides) under uncultured bacterium. Its description in RNAcentral is "partial 16S ribosomal RNA". It matches the Rfam family "Bacterial small subunit ribosomal RNA", at positions 28 to 507 of the family's 1533-position model. The record is from RNAcentral.
GAUGAACGCUGGCGGCGUGCCUAAUACAUGCAAGUCGAGCGAACGGACGAGAAGCUUGCUUCUCUGAUGUUAGCGGCGGACGGGUGAGUAACACGUGGAUAACCUACCUAUAAGACUGGGAUAACUUCGGGAAACCGGAGCUAAUACCGGAUAAUAUUUUGAACCGCAUGGUUCAAAAGUAAAAGACGGUCUUGCUGUCACUUAUAGAUGGAUCCGCGCUGCAUUAGCUAGUUGGUAAGGUAACGGCUUACCAAGGCAACGAUGCAUAGCCGACCUGAGAGGGUGAUCGGCCACACUGGAACUGAGACACGGUCCAGACUCCUACGGGAGGCAGCAGUAGGGAAUCUUCCGCAAUGGGCGAAAGCCUGACGGAGCAACGCCGCGUGAGUGAUGAAGGUCUUCGGAUCGUAAAACUCUGUUAUUAGGGAAGAACAUAUGUGUAAGUAACUGUGCACAUCUUGACGGUACCUAAUCAGGAAGCCACGGCUAACUACGUG